CCUACGGGCGGCAGCAGUCGAGAAUCAUUCACAAUGGGGGAAACCCUGAUGGUGCGACGCCGCGUGGGGGAAUGAAGGUCUUCGGAUUGUAAACCCCUGUCAUGUGGGAGCAAAUUAAAAAGAUAGUACCACAAGAGGAAGAGACGGCUAACUCUGUGCCAGCAGCCGCGGUAAUACAGAGGUCUCAAGCGUUGUUCGGAAUCACUGGGCGUAAAGCGUGCGUAGGCUGUUUCGUAAGUCGUGUGUGAAAGGCGCGGGCUCAACCCGCGGACGGCACAUGAUACUGCGAGACUAGAGUAAGGGAGGGGGAACCGGAAUUCUCGGUGUAGCAGUGAAAUGCGUAGAUAUCGAGAGGAACACUCGUGGCGAAGGCGGGUUCCUGGACAGUAACUGACGCUGAGGCACGAAGGCCAGGGGAGCGAAAGGGAUUAGAUACCCCAGUAGUC
Molecule: ribosomal RNA, 446 nt
Filed under: uncultured bacterium
Lineage: Bacteria
Description: partial 16S ribosomal RNA
Rfam family: Bacterial small subunit ribosomal RNA
Source: RNAcentral